AAGGUAGCGCAAUCAAUUGGCUCUUAAUUGGAGUCGGGUAUGAAUGGAAUUACGGAGUUUUUCUGUCUCUUUAUUAAUUUUUUGAAAUUACUAUGCAGGUGAAAAAGCCUGAAUUUAGAAAAAAGACGAGAAGACCCUUAGAGUUUUACUUAAAUUGGGGAACAAUUUUAUACCUUUAAUGGUUUAGUUGGGGCAACAUAGGAGAAAACUAAUCUCCUUAAUAUAAUUGGCCGAUAAUUUUAAAUUUGGAUAAACUACCUUAGGGAUAACAGCAUAAUUUAUUAAUUAAGUUUGUGACCUCGAUGUUGGACUAGGAAACUUAAGGGCUAGCCGUUCUUAGGGAAAGUUCUGUUCGAACUAUUAUUCCUACAUGAUCUGAGUU
This 382-nucleotide ribosomal RNA is filed under the name Glossodoris rufomarginata. RNAcentral's name for it is "partial 16S ribosomal RNA". It matches the Rfam family "Archaeal large subunit ribosomal RNA", at positions 2030 to 2680 of the family's 2987-position model. The record is from RNAcentral. Lineage: Eukaryota; Metazoa; Mollusca; Gastropoda; Nudibranchia; Chromodorididae.